RNAcentral lists this long non-coding RNA (12928 nucleotides) under Ananas comosus (pineapple). RNAcentral's name for it is "long non-coding RNA (ACOM_LNC017982)". The record is from RNAcentral. Lineage: Eukaryota; Viridiplantae; Streptophyta; Magnoliopsida; Poales; Bromeliaceae.
AAUAACUUCCCCUAACAGCUCCCCCAAUUUAUGAGCUCAUCUUAGGAGGGGAAAAGUUUUAGAAUGUAACGAGUAUAUUAAUAACGUGGCGUAACAAAUCAAUCAAAUAUCUUCUUUUAGGAGUAUAUGUCUCAUCAUGAUUAUAAAAAAAUAUUUUUUAUUAUACUUUUGUUUGAAAAGAAGGAAUGCGAUUGAUUUGUUAUUGAUGACGUGGUGAAGUGUGAUAGUAUAGAAUUCCUCCUUAGGAGGGGGGAGUUUUGAAAGGGCCCUCUAUACUUUGGGUGUGAUAAAUGUUACUUGUACAUUCACUUUUAGGCCCUGUUGGAUGCAUAGUUAAAAAAUUUUAUGGAAUUUUUAUUUUAUGGUUUUGGUCUAAAUGAAAUACGGAAUUCUGUAACUACAAAAAAAUUUCACAACUUCAUUUUUAAGCUGUUUGGAUACAGAUCAUACAAUUUCACAGUAUCUCCUUUUAGGAGUAUAUGUCUCAUCAUGAUUAUAAAAAAAUAUUUUUAUUGUACUUUUGUUUGAAAAGAAGGAAUGCGAUUGAUUUGUUAUUGAUGACGUGGUGCAAGUGUGAUAGUAUAGAAUUCCUCCUUAGGAGUGGGGAGUUUUGAAAGGGCCCUCUACACUUUGGGUGUGAUAAAUGUUACUUGUACAUUCACUUUUAGGCCAUGUUGGAUGCAUAGUUAAAAAAUUUCAUGGAAUUUUUAUUCUAUGGUUUUGGUCUAAAUGAAAUACGGAAUUCUGUAACUACAAAAAAAUUUCACAACUUCAUUUUUAAGUUGUUUGGAUACAGAUCAUACAAUUUCACAGUAUUUAUAACAAUUAAAUUUCUAAAAUUUUAAAAUUCAAAAUUCAAAAUUCAAAAUUCAAAAUUCAAAAUUCAAAAUUUAAAAAUAAAAUUUUAAAAAUUAAAAUUCAAAAUUCAAAAUAUAAAAUUAAAAUUUAAAAUUUAAAAUUAAAAAAUUAAAUUAGAUUUUAUGUUUUAAAUUUGAAAUUUGAAAUUUGGAAUUUGAAAUUUAAAAUUUGAAAUUUGAAACUUUAAAUUUUAAAAUUUAAAGUAUACCAUUUAAACUUUAAAAUUUGAAAUUUAAAAAAUCUAUAAUUAAAAUUUUAAAUUUUAAAUUUAAUAAUUUAUAAAUUUACAUAUUUAUAAAUUUAAAAUUUAAAAUUUAAGUUUAAAUUUAAAUUUUGAAAAUUGAAAAUUAAAAAUUAAAAAUUAAAUUAAAAUUUGAAAUUUGAAAUUUGAAAUUUGAACUUUUUGAAAUUUGAAAUUUGAACUUUUUGAAAUUUGAAAUUUGAAAGUUGAAAUUUGAAAGUUGAAAUUUGAAAUUUGAAAUUUGAUAUUUGAACUUUUUGAAAUUUGAAAUUUGAAAAUUGAAAUUUAAAAUCAAAAUUAAAAUUGAAAUUUAAAAUUUUAAGUUUUGAAAUUUAAAAUUUUAUGUUGAAAUUUAAAAUGUAGAAAUUGAUGCAUCUUUGGGAGCCCAAAAUGGUGGAAUUUUUUUCCUUUGGUUAAAGUGGAUUGUAAGUUUACUCCAUUUUUUGGAGUAUAGUAUAACUAUACUCCAAAAAUUACGUUAUUUUUUUUUCUUCUAAACGCUUCAUAGGAUUAUUUUUCUAUCGGCAUAGCAUAGUUUAACUAUGCUACGUUUCAUAGGAUUAUUUUCCUACCGGCAUAACAUAGUUUAACUAUGCUAUGUUUUUAGAGGUAUCCAAACGGAGCCUUAGUUAUAAUUUUUUUUUAUCAUAUUAUGUAAUAAGUAAAAGCACUCCAUUAAUUGGAUGAGUGGAAUAUAAGAUCUAAAUACAUUUUUCGACAUGCCACUAGUAUUAUUUUUUUUAGUAAUGUUAUAUACACCUAAUUAAUGGAUGUAUAAGAUUUAUAUCUUAAUCUCUCAAAAAUUAAGCUUUACUUAUUUAUUUUAUCAAUUUUUUAAAAACUACUAAAAAUCUUUUUUUUUUUUUACUUUAGAAUCAGGGAAUGCAAGAUUUAUGCCGUGAAACAGAGUAUACAGAUAGUUUUUUUUUUUUCAAAAUUUUUGCAUUUUUACAAAUAAAUUUCUGAACUUAUAACUUUUUUUGACAAGACCCUCUAGAUUUUAUUAAAAUAGAUUAAUAUGUUACUCUUCUAAGCAAUGUUAUUGAUUGAAUAGUUGUUUAGGUCAUAUAUCUUACUCACAAUUUUGAAUAAUUUAAGUAGAGAAAAAAUAGUUUAAUAAUUAAGUAUUAGAAUUGAAAAACAGAGUGAAUCUAUCUGUGAUUUUAUCUUUUCCAGAUAUUAACUAGAUGAAAUAAAAUUUAUUUGUGUUUUCAAACUUUAAAAUAUUACGUGUGGUACAAGCAAUUAAAACAGCUGUAUAAUUAAUAUCUUCUAUGGAGGACGGGACAUUAAAUGAUGUGAUGAAGUUUAGAAGUUUAAUUGCCGAAACUAAAAGUUUUAGCAUUUCCUUGUUAAAGAACCAAAGUCAAGGAUCUCUGCAUAUUUUCUAUUAUUUCAUUAUUUUGUAUCAUCUUCUUUUUGCCGAUUUUGGUAUUAUUGAGUUGGUAGAUGUGACACCCAUAGGAUUUGGAAUAGCUCUAUAUAUAAGAUAUAAUAUGGCCAAACCUCUUAAGCCAACUAUAGCAUUUGAGAUGGUGUCUAGGCUUAAAAGGUUAAGAGAGUUAAGCGUGCUAGAAUUAGAGUAGUUGUAGGAUAGAUGACUCCCUGAAAAGUAGAGUGUCAUAGUUAAUAUCAGAGUCAAUCACUAGUCGAAAGUGUGAGAUGAGUUUCGACUCAGCCAAUGUCAUAUAGCAGAUAGAGUGUGACUUCCCAAUUGACGGCCUUUAUGGGUAGAACGCAACUCCCUAUAAGGUCGGCCAAGGCUAGCAAGAUGAACCUCACAUUGCUUUGUGUUUGUGAGUAUACUUGAGCUUGACGAGAACGUCAAGGCCAAAAGGGGGAAGGAAUGUGAUACCACUAGAAUUUGGAAUAGUCCUAUAUAUAAGAUAUGGACUAAAUCUCUUAACUCGAUCAUAGCAUGUUGGGUAGUGGUUGGGCCCAAAAGGUUAAGAGGGGUUAAGUAUACUAGAACUAGAGUAAUUCUUACAACAGGUAGAGCGUAGCUUCCCGGUUGACGACCAUUGUGGGUGGAGUGCGACUCCUUACAAGAUCGGUCAAGGCUAGUGAGACGAACCUUACAUCGCAUGGUGCUUGUAAGUAUGCUUGAGCCUGAUGAGAAUGUCAAGAUUUAAAGGGGGGAGGAAUUUGAUACCGUUAGGAUUUGGAAUAGUCCUAUAUGUAAGAUGUGGACUAAACCUCUUAAUCCGACUAUAGCUGUAGUACACUGAACUUUAACAAUUUGCAAGGUUCUAGUGUAGGAAUAAUAUUUUGAACUAUUAUGAAUGUUUUGAGAGUUGUAAGUUGAGUGUCGACCGGUUUCUGGUGUCUUUUAGGCGCGAGAAAGGGUUCCUAACAUCAAAAUCUGCAAACUGCAGGUUUUAGUGUUGAAUACCGGUACUAAAGUGGGGUACCAGAACCCUAUAGAGUGCCAAAAUCAGCAGCUCUCGGGUUUUGAGGAACCGGGUUGGGAGUACCAGUACUGGGUUGAGUACUGGUAUUGCAUCAGGCUGGUACCGGAACGUAGUAUUAAACCUGAAAUUCCAACGUACGGGUUCUGCAGGACUGGGCAUUUUGUAUCGGAACUGCGGGGUACCAGUACUUCAAUUUGAGUACCGAUACUCAAUGCUGCAGAAUGCAAUUUCAUGCAGUUGCAAUUUAUGAGUCUUUAAGGGGCUUAGUGGGGAUUGUUACAACUUGUAUAUGCCCUUCACCCCUCAUUUACUCAGCCCUUGUGCCGGUGCUUGAGAGGAAGAGUGGUAAGCUUCUCUUUCUCUCUUGAAUUCUCCUCCCACAGUCUUUCCAAUUUGAAGUUUUGAUCUUCUUUUCUUCUUCCUUUCCAUGGAAGCUUGUCUUGUGGACCUCGAAUGAGGCUUUGGAGAGAAGAAGGGAGGUUAGUUGAGGAUUAAUCUCCGACCCUAACUUAGGUUUAGCUUGGUUUGGAGCUUUCCAUAAGAUUAGUAAUCUUCUUACCACCUUUGAUUGUGAAUUUGUGAGGAUUUGUAGAAUUAGACCUAGUUGUGAGAAAACUAGGAUUUAAUUUGGAAUUUUUUGUUGUGGGACUUUUGGAGACCAAUUGAUGGCUGUGAAACUCUCUUUUAGGUGAGAAUUGAAGUUUCCUAGCCUUGAUUAGAGCGUUGGACAUGUUCUUCUUGGUCUAAGGUAUUUUCUAUCUAUUUUAGGUAAGGUUUUUGGUGAAUUUCGUGAGAAGCUUGUUAGAAACUUGUAACCCUCUUAGAAUUUUUGUUAGGGUGCUAGGAUUCUCAAGGACAACUUCGUUCGUGGAAACGAAAGAGUUCAAAGGGUAUCCAGUGGGUUUGACCUUACCGAAAUGAGUGAACUCCCCCAGUGUCUUCCACAUUGUUUUAAAACUUGAAUUCAUACAUAUUCAUGUUAGAUAUAAUAUAAUGAAAUUUUUGGAUACAUGCUACAUACAUGUUACAUGUAGAAGUUUUCAUCCUCUAUAUAGUAGAGAUAUAUAAUGUGGACUUGCAUUCUAAAUGGUAGAUAAUAGUGUUUUCCCUUUAUGCAAUAAUAGAAAGCAUGUUAGGGAUGGACAAAUGAUGUGUCUCCUAGACCAUAUAUGACUUAGUGGAACAUACUUGUUGUAGACAAGUUACAAAUGACAUAUUGAAUGGUAGUAGCAAUGUAUAAACUUAAUCUUGUUGUAUUUGACUUAGUCGAAUAACUAGAAUUCAAAGUUGUGAUAUUGUAAUGACAUACCAUGUUUUAGACAUGAUGAAUGAGAUCCCUAUGUUGUUGAUCACACUUGCUUGCCAUUGUCCUUAAUCGCACAAGUUUGUAAGGAUCGUUUCCUACAAGCCGGCACUUCGAAGUUGGCCUACGUGACAUCAUGCUCGCCUGUGUGAGAUUGGACGCCGAAGUGGAUUGUCGUGGGAGAGGCUUAUUCCUAGUGGGGGAAUGUUGACUACCACCGGGCCAUUAGGCAUGGCGCAAGUCAGGACUACACCUUGUGUUGGUCCUCGUUAAUUUGGGUAAUGAUAAUUAAACAUAAUGAUUAGACAUUACUACUAGAUAGUGCAUGAUAUUUGGACAUGACAUUAGCUAUUGUAUAGCCAUUUGCAAAGAAAAGCAUAUUGUAUUAAUUUUAAAAUAAAAAUGUUCUUUUUUUACAGGUUCAGUACAAGUAAGGACACAUUUGGAAUUCAAGAAAAUAUAAAUCAUUUUAUACUAUUUUGCUAUAUUCGCAAACUAUUUUACGUCAUGUGACCAUUUUUGUAUUUGGAUAUAAUUUGUGUAUGCAUUACUAUUUUUGUGUUUAGAAAAAUUUGAAACUCUUUUGUUACUUUUUUAAAUAUUGAAUGUACUGCAAGAUUUUAACUUAUUUAUUUAUUUAAUUGCGAAUGAGCUUAUUAUUAAAUAAUUUGUAUUAUUUUAUUUUGUAUAACAUAGGUUACUUAUUACACAGAAAUACUGAGAUCACAUAUUAUUUAAUAAAAUUGUAUUAUUUUUAAAUAUUAUGAUAAAAUUUAAUUAUUAUAUGAUAGUGCAAAUUAUUAUUUAUAUUAUUUUUGUUUGUUUAAAAGUAUAAUUUAAAAAUAUUUAUAUAUAGAAUUAUCGGCAUUUAUUAAUGCUGGAAUCAAUAAUAGAAUACUAACAUUUAUAUAAUAUUGCAAAUUAAAUAACAGUUAUCAGCAUUUAUUAGUGUCAGAAAUGAUUAAAAAAUACAAGCAUUUAAAUAAUGUCGGUAAUAGUCAUCUCUAUAACGGCAUUUGUUUAAUAUUACUAAUUACUUCACAUUAAUGACAAUCUAUUUAAAUAUCGGUAGAAGAUUUAUCAACAUGAGUAUAAGUGGCAUUAAAAUCUUAAUGCCACUAAUAGUUUUUACAGUAUUUUUUGAAUUUUAGGUGGCAAUAAUUGAACGUCGUUAAAUCUCAAUUUUUCUUUAGUGGCUAUACUAUCGGUAGUUAAAUGAAUAAUGUUUAUUAUCAAUCUUUUCACCCUUAAAUUAUUGCUAUUCUACCAACCCUUCACUAAAUUCUAAGUAUCAAAGAAAACUUAAAAAGUUGAUAGUAAACAUUACCCCCGUACUAUCAAUAGCAUUCUAGCCAUAUUAUAUAUAUAUAGAGAGAGCUAGGCUGGUAUACUAUCGGUAGCGCUAUAGAGAGCUAGGCUGGUAUACUAUCGGAGGCCUCCGUGCUACCAAGUUGUUUUCAAUGAUGCAGCUUCCAAAUCGACAAUCGGCUCCGUUUGACUUGAUCUACACUAUUGAAAGUAUUUGAAAACUAAAUUUCAUAAUUUUUGGGCAUCAUUUACGUAUGAAACGAGUAGUCUAAAAAUGAACGACUGAAAAUAAAAAUCUCAUAAAAAAUAAUGAUAAAAGACUUGAAUUUAAGAUCAGAGAUACUGAUCUUAUUCCAAAUAGUGAAAAAAAAUUUCUAUAAAAAUUUUAUUAGAUUUGGAUUGUUUUACACCGUUAAAUUCACAAACGCAUCACAUCUACCAUUAAAAUUAUCAAUUUUGAAACCUUUUGAUCACUAGCCAAAUAAUGUCUAAAAAUUAUGAAAUUUAGUUUCCAAAUACUUUUAAUAGUAUAGAUCAAGUCUAACGGAGCCAAUCGUCGAUUUGGAAACCGCGUCAUUGAAAACAACUUGGUAGCAUGGAGGCCUCCGUACUACCGAUAGUAUACCAGCCUAUAUAUAUAUAUAUAUAUAUAUAUAUAUAUAUAUAUAUAGCUCCUAUGCUUUCGAAAGUACGAAAGCAUCCGUACUUGUAAGUUGUUUUCAAUAAUGGGACAUCCGAUUCGACGAUCGGUUCCGUUAGACAUGAUCUACACUAUUAGAACUACAUAGAAACCAAAUUUCAUAAUUUUUUGACUCCGUUUGUCUAGUAAACGAGUAGCCUCAAAAUGAACGGCUAAAAAUAAAAAUCUCAUAAAAAACAGUGAUAAAGGACUCAAAUUUCAAAUCGAAAGUAUUGGUCUUGCUAUUGAUGUUAAGUAGAGUUUUUUAUUAAAUUUUCAUCUAAUUUGGAUACUUCUACACCGUUGAACUUAAAAACGUGCCACAUCGGCCGUUAAAAUAGUCAUUUUUGAGACCUUUUGAUCGUUUCGUAAAUGAUGUCAAAAAAUUAUAAAAUUUGGUUUUUAAAUAGUGCCAAUAGAGUAAAUUAUAUUUAACGGAGCCGAUCGUCGAAUCGGAUUUCCUAUCAUCGAAAACAACUUACAAGCAUGAAGGUUUUCGUACUUUCGAAAGUACAGGAGACUUACUAUAUAUAUAUAUAUAUAUAGGCUACUAUGCUAUUAAUAGCACCAAGUCAUUGGUGCUACCAAGUUUUUAGCUAUUGGAUUAAGAGAUGUGUGGUUAGGAUGAUGUGGGCCCUCUAGGGUUGAGUGGGUGGUUGGUUGGAUUAAUAGCAUAGUAGCCGGACUCUAUAUAUAUAUAUAUUGUCACGCCCCGGAUUACACGUUUUCUCGGGCACGCCAACAGACCCGCCAUAUGCAUAGAAAUUUUUCUUGUAUACGAAGCGAUAGCUGUACCUAUAAAUAAAUCAAGCUACAACCACAAAGUAAUGAACUGCUAAACUAAAAACAUGUCACGCCCCAAUCCCCGCCAAUUUGGUCGGGUUCGGGUCACGUCAACAGACGCCGAACGGACAGAGCCUCCCCUGUCCGCCCAAGGCUCUAACAACAUGUAUAAAUAGGCAAUCAACAAGAGAAUUGCAUAUAUAAUACAAGGCUUGCACGAGGGCAAGCAGCAACGGAAGCGAAAGCUCUAAGCUAAAUAUACAUCACACAUGAUAUUUGAUUUCAUUUAAACCAAAUUUAAGUAAACAAAGCUAUUACAUUCCAUUCAACCAUCAUAUCUUUUACAUUUAGUCAUCCACCAAAAACAUGAUUGUUUACAACUUUACAUCUCUAAUUCAACAAAAUAAAGCUGCUACAUGUACACCAAAAGGAAAAUGACUACAAAAUGUUAAGCUACUCCGGUGCCGUACUACGGCCGCUAAACCCUGCCAUCGGUCGCUCCGCCCCCACUGUCGGCUAGGACCUGGUAGGUUAGUGGUGUGAGAGAACUAACACGAAGUUCCCAGGUGGGUCUGGCAUCUCGCGAUCUCCGGACCGACUUACGCCUAGGUUCAAUCCAGGCAUAGUAUUUCAAGGAGGAAAAUAACAGCACUACUAAUGCAAGCUAAUAAUUUAUGGCCUGCAAGAAAGAAGUNNNNNNNNNNNNNNNNNNNNNNNNNUGCGACAAGGGUAACUAUGAAUUAUUAAAUCAAAUUCGUAAGUUGUCAAUUUCAGAUCCCAUGAGAAAUUCAUUUUGCAAAAGAGGAAUACUAAAGUGCUCAUUAGCAGGAUGUACGUAUCAGCAAGCUAUUCAUCUCAUGAAAUUCUCCUCAAGUAUCAAUCAUGACAAAUAAGGCUUAGUUUCUAAAAGCUGAAAUAUAUGCUCCGAUAGUCUGUGGUGUCAUAUUUAUCAUAUGAGCUGACAUACAAUCACUUCACCAUUUCUUUGACCUCUCCAAAAUGAAUAAUGUGUAAAUCCAAAAUCAACACAGGCGAAAAUAUAAAGCAGAGAGAUUUCAUUGCAACAGCCAACAAACAAAAUUGCACAGUCAAUUCCAAUUAAACAUUCAGACUAUCGUGAGUUCAACCUAUGGAACUUGAAAAAAAGAAGAAGCAAGCAGCUACUCAGGUUAUUAAACAUCAAUAUUGCAUUUGUAGAAAAGCCGCUAAUAAAUAACAAAUAGCCAGUUUAAUUUCAAUUUCGAAAAAGAAAAACACAAUUCCCCCAAAACUCAAUUCAAUUUUCCUGCACAAAUAGAUGAUCUAUUGCUCCAAUACGGAAUCACAUGCCCCUGUAUCCAUUUCUCGCAUUUUUGAAAUAAGCCAUAGAAUUGGUGCAAAAAAAUUGUGCUCCCAAAUUCGUCUGGCCCAUAAAAAUUAAAGAAAGUAAUAAAAUAAGCCAAAAUUAGUCAGCAAAAAUUAAACGCGCUGCAGAAAUAACCGUGUUUAAAAGGGGGGAAAACUUUCAAAACCACGAAUUAAUUAAAAGUAAGGAAAGCGACCAAGAGUACGGGAAAACAGGGAAUAUGAUUUCGCAAUAGUUAUUGAGCAACAAAACCCAAAUUUACAAAAAAUCAGCAGACGUAAAUUUCAAGUCAGAAAGCAUAUCUUUCUCAAAAUUAGAGAAGCCUGAAAAUCGCUUGGCACUGUACCGAAUCAAAACAUGUGGAAACAAACCACAGAACUUCCGACUUCUCGAUCAAAACCCAAUCCAUUUAUCAAAAAAACCAAACAAAAUCGUCAAAAGAGAAACCCUAGAAAUCCCCAUGAACACGAGAAAACUGUAAAUCGAGGCAGCAUGAAUCCUUCGUUUCAAAUCGAGGAAACGCAAAUCCAUACCCUUCGUGAAAGGAAAAGGUUCUUUCCAAACCCCCGGCACUCCGCACGCGUCUGAUCGAGAUAUCGAAGCGACGUAUGUCGAGGUUUAUCGACGACGACGACGCACGAAACUCGCCCUGCGAGCAACUGGGAGAACCGUGUGGCUCCCGAUAGUACCGCGCACGCCGGUGGACGAGGAUCGACUUACGGAGCAUGGACGAAGGCCCCCAAAAAGUCGAGAACGAAACCGAUGAGAUGAGAGAAGAAGGGUUCGGAAAGAGGAGAAGAUGAGAGGCGAGACGAUGGAGAGAGCCGGAGGUGGAGAGAACGAAGGAGAGAAAAGGGAGGUGCAAAAGCGAGGAGGAAUGAACGAAGAUCCUAAUGAAAGGGGAAAUUAAAUGGUAAUAAGGUAUUUAUUAGAGUGCCAGCGAGAUACACAUAUAAAUAAAUAAUAAUCAUAAUAACAAUAAAUAUUAUAAAAAGUAUCAUAUACUGUAAACGGGUUUCGGGAUUUAUGACGAUCAUCGUACCCGCGGUGUCGAAUUCCAGAAAAAAGAUCACGGAGUGGUAUUUUGUACAUGUUGCCGACAAAGAAUGGAGUGUGUUAUUUAUUUAAUUUAAAUAAAAAUGGUUAAAUGUGCGUUCCGCACAUUAAUAAAGAGGCAGAUGGUACACGUGUCGGGUUGUCAUUCGGUGGUUGGAAAGAAUUUACAGGCUGGUUCGAGAGCGCAUAUGCUUUUAUUGUUUUUUUUUUUUUAAUAGUAAUGCUAUUUAGGCAGCAAAUAAAAGUUAUGUUUUAUAUAUAUAUUUUUACAUUAUAAAUGAUUAAAAUUCAAUAGUUCCGAUACGUAACUUUUUAAAAGCAUACAAAAUACUUAAGGGACUUUAUAAAUAUUUUAUCAUUAAAAUUUUUUUUAGUCAAUUUAAUUGCUUUAGAUCAUAUCAUUGGAGCAACUAAUCGUUUAAUAUUUAGGACAUUAUUAUUCUAACUAUUCACAUCUUAUCAUACCAACAAUCAAAAAUUUAAUAAACCAUUAACUGUUGGUAUUGAACAAAUUUGUAUCAUCGAGCGUGAACUUUACCCUCUCUUUUUGGCAAAACAUCUAUCUACAAUAAAUUAUUAGCAUUGAAACGUUCUAAAUUUUAGUUAAAUAUAAUUAGUUGACCUCUUUCUAGUUUUAAUCAAAUAUUAUUUACUUGACCUCCUCUACGUCGGCAGAGUUGUAUUUGAAUAAGUAUUGUAAGUAUAUCUUCGACAUCAUAAUUUUAUAAUUAGAACAAAGAACGAAAAAACUUAAAUUUUCUUGUUCUUCUGUCUCUGUAAUCAUUAAGAUACAAAGGCAUAUGAUUGAAAGAGUAUAGCGAAUCUACUUUUCAUAUUUAUUAUUUCUUUUAUAUAGAAUAUAACAUAUUUUUUCGUAUUUUAAAAUUUUAAAUAAUCAUAUAAUAGCGUAAUUUUGAUUGAAUGAGAAUCUAUUAAAAGCUAUUUAACAAAUUUAGAAGGUCUGAGUAUUACUAAUUAGAAACUUCAUGUCUAGGUGUUGCAAAAAAAUAUAUAAAAGUAAGCGUUACACUAUAUUUUUUUCUCAAAAAAAAUCCCAUCUCGGCAACUACUUGUAUUACCGAAAACCAUUUGAGUAUUGAUCACAUUUAUAAUAUUAUUAAAUAAAAUAGACUUCGAAGAAAAGUAUUUGAAAAAAUAUUUUUUUAGGGGUCGUUUUUGUAUUUGGUGGCCUCUCAUUUUUUUUUUUCACAAUAGCCCAUUAAUUUUAUAAUUCUAAUUUUGGCUCUAUUCUGUCACAGAAGUAACAUGUCAACCGCCAAUGGUUAAGCUUGAAUAAGGUGAAACUAGGUAUUAGUGUUUUUUACCGCGCUCAAAUAAUAUAUAAUAAUUAGAUCACGGUAGGACAUGGUAAAUAAAUUAUCAUAUUCAACUAUUCGCACUCCUCUAUUUCAUGCCUGCGUGCGCUUAAAAUGGCGCUUAUGUGGUAACGGUGAACAGACGUCAAAAUUUAAUUAUAAAUUAGUGAAGACUAUUAGUGAAGAAUAAACUUGUGUAGAGGGUCGAAAUACAAAAAAAAAAAAAAGAAAAGAAAAAAAAAACCAUGUUUUAUUUUUUAAUGGAGUUUAAAAAGAAAAUAUUGGAAUCAGAGCUGGCAGGGGCAAGUGGGGGCCCGCGCGCGGAGUGGGCGCCCACGGGGACCUAGAGAGGAAUUUGGGCGAUACGGGUGCCUCGUGUGUUGAGGGUGCGCUGCCAGUCUGCAAUUUCAAGGUAAUGCGAUGCCAAGUCGGUGGUGGGAUGGGAGGGUUUAGUCGAGGACCGGUUUGGUGGGGCGCUGAGUGUGGAACGCGUUUUGAAGAUCCGCUUGGCUUAAGAGGUGCUUAGCAAUUUCAGGUAGCACAUGGCGUCGCAAUAACUCUCCCACUAACAGCUCCCCAAUUUAUGAGCUCAUCUUAGGAGGGGAAAAGGUUUUUAGAUUAAACGAGUAUAUUAAUAACGUGGCGUAACAAUCAAUCAAAUAUCUUCUUUAGAGUAUAUGUUCUCAUCAUGAUUAAUAAAAAAAUAUUUUUUUAUUUACUUGUUGUUGAAAAGAAAGGAUAUGCGAUUGUUUGUGAUUGAUGACGUGGUGAACAGUGUGAUAGUAUAAAUUCCUUCCUUAGAGCGGGGAGUUUUGAAAGGGCGUCUAUACUAUUGGGUGUGAUAAAUGUUACUAUGUACAUUCACGUUUAGGCCCUGCUUGGAAUGCCAAGCUUCAAAAUUGAUAUUCGGAAAUUUUUAUGUUAUGGUUUUUGGUCUAAAUGGAAUAUACGGAAUUCUGUAAUACAAAAAAAUUUCACAACUCAUUUUUAAGCUGUUUGGAUACAGAGAUCAUACAUUUCACAGUAUCUCCUCUUUAGGAGUAUAUGUUCAUCAUGAUUUUAAAAAAUUAUUAAUUUAUUGUACUUUUGUUUGAAAGAAGGAAUGCGAUUGAUUUGUUAAUUAUGACGGGUGCAAGUGGAUAGUAUAGAAUUCUCCUUAGGAAGUGGUCGGAGUUUUGAAAGGGCCCUCUACACUUUUGGGUGUGAUAAAUGUUACUUGUACAUUCAUUUUUACGGCCAUUGUUGGAUGCAUAGUUAAAAAUUUCAUGAAUUUUUAUUCUAAUGUUUUUGGUCUAAAUGAAAUAGGAAUCUGUAACUACAAAAAAAUUUCACGAACUUCAUUUUUAAGUUGUUUGGAGUACAGAUCAUACAAUUUCAGUAUUUAUAACAAAUUAAAUUUCGAAAAUGUUUAAAAAUCAAAUUCAAAAUUUCAAAAUUCAAGAUUAAAUUCAAAUGCAAAAUUUAAAAAUAAAUUUUAAAAAUUAAAAUUCAAAUUCAAAAUAAAAAUUAAAUUUAAAUUUAAUUAAAAAUUAAUUAGAUUUUAUGUUUAAAUGUCGAAAUUUGAAAUUUGGAAUUUGAAAUUUAAAAUUUGAAAUGUUUGCACUUUUAAAUUUUAAAAUUUAAAGUAU